UUCAAAAUACUUGUCAGGUUCGGUUUUUCACUUUCUGGGUAACCCAGAUUUUUACUCGGUCAAGCCCGGUCAACGGGUUUUGACCGUUAAUAACUCCUGAUCCUGACAUAAAAUAGCUCUGAUUUCUUUUGCAGACUAAAGACCAUAUACCAGGCUAUAACUUAAAGCUUUUAAAUAACAAAAACAACAAACGAGUAACGAUCUGUGGCGCCUGACAUUAGGUUGUCAGACCACAGAUUUUGUUCUUGAACAAUUUUAGAAAAACGUACUUUUACUCACUUUGGUGCUAUGGAUCCAUCAUGGAUCAUCAUAUAACCACUAAAAACAUCUUCUAGCAAUAUCUUAAACACAUAAACACAAAAAUUUCUCAAGCAACAAAGAUCAAAAAUAAAAACUUGGUUAUACCUUUUU
This 411-nucleotide long non-coding RNA is filed under the name Panax ginseng (ginseng). RNAcentral describes it as "long non-coding RNA (PGIN_LNC003837)". Lineage: Eukaryota; Viridiplantae; Streptophyta; Magnoliopsida; Apiales; Araliaceae. The record is from RNAcentral.